This 561-nucleotide long non-coding RNA is filed under the name Sus scrofa (pig). RNAcentral describes it as "lncRNA (ENSSSCG00035075078.1, ENSSSCG00065052412.1)". The record is from RNAcentral. Lineage: Eukaryota; Metazoa; Chordata; Mammalia; Artiodactyla; Suidae.
CCUGUCUUUUACUUGAGCAGCUACCACUCUCGCAGUCUGUGACCUUACUGUUUGCUCCCACCAGUUCUUGUCCAUGCUUUGGCUUUUCUCCAUGCUGACCCCUUUAGUUGUUCUAGGCACCUUCAGCCUCCUUUCAGAGAGACAGUAAGCUCAGUGAGGGCAAGGACCCUGUCUUUCUUAUUCCCAGCUUUACCCGCAGCACACAGCCCGGUUUCUUAUCUAGAGUGACCAGAGAAACUGUCUCCUCAUUGAAAUGAAUCCAUGGAAUGAAAACAGACUGUGAGUUCAGAAAGUUUGAUGACUGCUGCCUUGAAAACUUUCACAAAUAUACAUGAGGAGACAUGCACAGCAAGCAGAGAUCAUCAAGCACUGAAAGCAAGAUGAUGAAAGACUCUUCCACCAUUUCUUCGGUUCUUGCAUGGCGUUUAAACCCCGGGAUUCUCAUGCAAUCCCAAGACAGAGAAGGACCCUCGAAAAUGAACGGUCAUUGAUUUCCCACCAGCUCUAUUGAGUGGGCAAGGUGGUAGGAAGGGGGCGAGCGUCAGAUUUAACCUGAUUGUC